CGCGUAGGCGGUAGUGCAAGUCCGGUGUGAAAUCCCCCGGCUCAACCGGGGAGAUGCGCUGGAAACUGUGCUGCUAGAGUCUAGGAGGGGAAGCUGGAAUUCCUGGUGUAGGGGUGAAAUCUGUAGAGAUCAGGAAGAACACCGGAGGCGAAGGCGAGCUUCUGGCCAUAGACUGACGCUGAGGCGCGAAAGCGUGGGGAGCAAACAGGAUUAGAUACCCUGGUAGUCC
This 229-nucleotide ribosomal RNA is filed under the name uncultured bacterium. Its description in RNAcentral is "partial 16S ribosomal RNA". It matches the Rfam family "Bacterial small subunit ribosomal RNA", at positions 568 to 796 of the family's 1533-position model. The record is from RNAcentral.